GACGAACGCUGGCGGUGUGCUUAACACAUGCAAGUCGAACGGAAAGGCCCUGCUUUUGUGGGGUGCUCGAGUGGCGAACGGGUGAGUAACACGUGAGUAACCUGCCCUUGACUUUGGGAUAACUUCAGGAAACUGGGGCUAAUACCGGAUAGGAGCUCCUGCUGCAUGGUGGGGGUUGGAAAGUUUCGGCGGUUGGGGAUGGACUCGCGGCUUAUCAGCUUGUUGGUGGGGUAGUGGCUUACCAAGGCUUUGACGGGUAGCCGGCCUGAGAGGGUGACCGGCCACAUUGGGAUUGAGAUACGGCCCAGACUCCUACGGGAGGCAGCAGUGGGGAAUAUUGCACAAUGGGCGGAAGCCUGAUGCAGCAACGCCGCGUGCGGGAUGACGGCCUUCGGGUUGUAAACCGCUUUCGCCUGUGACGAAGCGUGAGUGACGGUAAUGGGUAAAGAAGCACCGGCUAACUACGUG
This 468-nucleotide ribosomal RNA is filed under the name uncultured bacterium. Its description in RNAcentral is "partial 16S ribosomal RNA". It matches the Rfam family "Bacterial small subunit ribosomal RNA", at positions 28 to 507 of the family's 1533-position model. The record is from RNAcentral.